This 329-nucleotide ribosomal RNA is filed under the name uncultured eukaryote. RNAcentral's name for it is "partial 18S ribosomal RNA". It matches the Rfam family "Eukaryotic small subunit ribosomal RNA", at positions 1470 to 1796 of the family's 1831-position model. The record is from RNAcentral.
CCCUUAGAUGUUCUGGGCCGCACGCGCGCUACACUGAUGCAUUCAACGAGUCUAAAACCUGCUCUGAUAGGGGUGGGUAAUCUUUUGAAUGUGCAUCGUGAUUGGGAUAGAUGAUUGCAAUUUUUCAUCUUCAACGAGGAAUGCCUAGUAAACGCAAGUCAUCAGCUUGCAUUGAUUACGUCCCUGCCCUUUGUACACACCGCCCGUCGCUCCUACCGAUUGAAUGAUCCGAUGAAUAUCAUGGAUUGAGGAUGCAAGCAGGUUCGCCUGUCUUCAUCUUCGAGAAGUGAAGUAAAUCUUAUCAUUUAUAGGAAGGAGAAGUCGUAACA